Oncorhynchus tshawytscha (Chinook salmon) is the source of this 1149-nucleotide long non-coding RNA. RefSeq lists it as uncharacterized. The record is from RefSeq and is a predicted model, not a curated record. The transcript has 3 exons. NCBI's taxonomy places the organism in Eukaryota, Metazoa, Chordata, Actinopteri, Salmoniformes, Salmonidae.
CCGGAAGUGUCAAGUGAAUCCAUAACAUCACCACAAACGGCUUUUCAAGCCAGAUUGGAGAAGGACAAAUGAAGGGAGUAAAAAGAGUGAAGGAGGAGAGUGAAGAAGAGUGAGGUGGAACGGUGAAGAGAAGGAAAGGAAGAAAGAUCAGGAAGACGAUUGGAGGAGAAGAAAACGUUGAGAGUAAGAAGAGUGACACAAGGAGAGUGAAGAAGAGCAGACAGGAGGAACAAUUAUACACAUACCUUUUUUGAAUCAUUCUUCACUACGGCUGUUGCUGUCUUUGUUGGACUUCUGAGAGAGCUAGAGGGAAAUGGUGCAAUGUCUAGAGAGCUUUCUCAAAACCUCCCAAUCGUUCUUCACUGUGGCUGUGAACUACUUGCAGGCAUUGGGAAAGCACACAGAUAAUCUAAAAGAUGUACUUUGUCUCCUUUUAAAAGGCAACCUCAGCGUGAAGAGAUCCAGAAGGCAGCAGCCACACUGCAGGAAAAAUGCCCCCAUGUGACCAUGAAUGAGGAUGCAUUGCUUGAUGAGGUUACUGGCCUGCAAGAGUUCCUAAAGGGGAGGGAUCGCUUGAAGAAUGGAAAACAUUGGAGACACCGCUUAGUCAGAGAUGGAGUUACCCACUUCAAAGAGAACCACAUCCCACACACUAACCUGGCUAGAUUAGCUUCUGUUGUCAUGUGCUUACCUGGAAGUAAUAGACCAGUCGAGAGAGUGUUCUCCCAAAUGAAUGAUAUAUGGACAGCAGCAAGAAAUAGGUUCACUGUUCCUGCCAUCAAGGCCAUGCUUAUUGUAAAGACAAACUUCAACCUCCGCUGCCAGGAGUUCAUGGAGAAGCUGGCCAAAGACGGAGCAAUCCUGAAGAAGAUACAUUGUUCUGAGAAAUAUACAGAUUAGGUUGGAAUAAGUGACUAGCAGGACCACUGAUUGGCUGUUCAGAUCAGUUCUACCCAGACUACCAGGACCACUGAAUGGCUGUUCAGAUCAGUUCUACCCAGACUACCAGGACCCCUGAAUGGCUGUUCAGAUGAGUUCUACCUAGACUAGCAGGACCCCUGAAUGGCUGUUCAGAUCAGUUCUACCCAGACUAGCAGGACCACUGAAUGUCUGUUCAGAUCAGUUCUACCCAGACUACCAGGACCACUG